GGAUAACCGCUGAAAGCAUAUAAGCGGGAAGCCCACCCCAAGAUUAGGUAUCCCGGCCGUAAGGCCCUGAAGGCCCCUUCUAGACAAGGAGGUUGAUAGGUCAGAGGUGGAAGCGCUGUAAGGCGUGGAGCUGACUGAUACUAAUUGGCCGUGAGGCUUGACCGC
RNAcentral lists this ribosomal RNA (165 nucleotides) under Binataceae bacterium (SeqCode). Its description in RNAcentral is "partial 23S ribosomal RNA". It matches the Rfam family "Bacterial large subunit ribosomal RNA", at positions 2762 to 2925 of the family's 2925-position model. The record is from RNAcentral. Lineage: Bacteria; Candidatus Binatota; Binatia (SeqCode); Binatales (SeqCode); Binataceae (SeqCode).